RNAcentral lists this ribosomal RNA (310 nucleotides) under uncultured bacterium. RNAcentral's name for it is "bacterial SSU rRNA". It matches the Rfam family "Bacterial small subunit ribosomal RNA", at positions 28 to 334 of the family's 1533-position model. The record is from RNAcentral.
GACGAACGCUGGCGGCGCGCCUAACACAUGCAAGUCGAACGAGCGAGAGAGAGCUUGCUUUCUCAAGCGAGUGGCGAACGGGUGAGUAACGCGUGAGGAACCUGCCUCAAAGAGGGGGACAACAGUUGGAAACGACUGCUAAUACCGCAUAAGCCCACAGCUCGGCAUCGAGCAGAGGGAAAGGAGUGAUCCGCUUUGAGAUGGCCUCGCGUCCGAUUAGCUAGUUGGUAAGGUAACGGCUUACCAAGGCAACGAUCAGUAGCCGACCUGAGAGGGUGACCGGCCACAUUGGGACUGAGACACGGCCCAA